This is a long non-coding RNA of Oreochromis niloticus (Nile tilapia), 527 nucleotides long. RefSeq lists it as uncharacterized. The transcript has 4 exons. The record is from RefSeq and is a predicted model, not a curated record. Lineage: Eukaryota; Metazoa; Chordata; Actinopteri; Cichliformes; Cichlidae.
GGUUGCUGCUGCUGCCAGGUGAAAUCAGCUGCAAUGACGUUCCUGCAGCAAAAACCUCAUUUCAAGCGACAACAAAAGGCUUGUGUGAAUGCCAUCAAAGGGUCCUGGCAGAUGUCUAAUAGAUCAGGUGGGAGGGUGUGGCAUGUGAGGAGGACGUGAGGAAGCAGAGGUCCAGAGGAGGGUUUUGGGGGAAGGAGGUUUCAAAGAACAACAUUUGGCUGUCGCAGGCUUGAGGCUUAAACAAGACUCCAGCGGCUGUGCCCACUGACUCAUUUGAAGCAUUCUACCAAACAGCAAACAGGAGCCAAGAACUUCACGAGGCAGGAAUGUAGAGCUUAAUGCUGUCACUGAGUUUCCAGUGAGCAGAGAGGGUGGUGAUGGUUGGGGAUAUUUUCAUUAGCGAUGGAGGUUAAAGGAAGUGAGGGACCUGGAGAAAAUGGUUCUUGGUUUACAAGGUUCACUUGUUUAUCCAACCAUUUCUCUUGUAUAAUCAUCCAUCUGCUGCAUUAGCCCGUGAUGUGUGAAGC